This 72-nucleotide transfer RNA is filed under the name Spirochaetota bacterium. Its description in RNAcentral is "Spirochaetes bacterium tRNA-Asp". It matches the Rfam family "tRNA". From Rfam's summary of the family: Transfer RNA (tRNA) molecules are approximately 80 nucleotides in length. Their secondary structure includes four short double-helical elements and three loops (D, anti-codon, and T loops). Further hydrogen bonds mediate the characteristic L-shaped molecular structure. tRNAs have two regions of fundamental functional importance: the anti-codon, which is responsible for specific mRNA codon recognition, and the 3' end, to which the tRNAs corresponding amino acid is attached (by aminoacyl-tRNA synthetases). tRNAs cope with the degeneracy of the genetic code in two manners: having more than one tRNA (with a specific anti-codon) for a particular amino acid; and 'wobble' base-pairing, i.e. permitting non-standard base-pairing at the 3rd anti-codon position. Lineage: Bacteria; Pseudomonadati; Spirochaetota. The record is from RNAcentral.
GGCUGUGUAGCUCAACGGUAGAGCGCUACCUUGUCAGGGUAGAGAGUGCGGGUUCGAUCCCCGUCACGGUCG